Molecule: ribosomal RNA, 745 nt
Filed under: uncultured soil bacterium
Lineage: Bacteria
Description: bacterial SSU rRNA
Rfam family: Bacterial small subunit ribosomal RNA
Source: RNAcentral
AACGCUGGCGGCAUGCCUUACACAUGCAAGUCGAACGGCAGCGCGGGGCAACCUGGCGGCGAGUGGCGAACGGGUGAGUAAUAUAUCGGAACGUGCCCUGGAGUGGGGGAUAACGCAGCGAAAGUUGCGCUAAUACCGCAUACGAUCUAAGGAUGAAAGCGGGGGAUUCGCAAGAACCUCGUGCUCCUGGAGCGGCCGAUAUCUGAUUAGCUAGUUGGUGGGGUAAAGGCCUACCAAGGCAUCGAUCAGUAGCUGGUCUGAGAGGACGACCAGCCACACUGGAACUGAGACACGGUCCAGACUCCUACGGGAGGCAGCAGUGGGGAAUUUUGGACAAUGGGCGAAAGCCUGAUCCAGCAAUGCCGCGUGAGUGAAGAAGGCCUUCGGGUUGUAAAGCUCUUUUGUCAGGGAAGAAACGGUAUGGGCUAAUAUCCCGUACUAAUGACGGUACCUGAAGAAUAAGCACCGGCUAACUACGUGCCAGCAGCCGCGGUAAUACGUAGGGUGCAAGCGUUAAUCGGAAUUACUGGGCGUAAAGCGUGCGCAGGCGGUUUUGUAAGUUUGUCGUGAAAGCCCCGGGCUCAACCUGGGAAUUGCGAUGAAGACUGCAAGGCUUGAAUCUGGCAGAGGGGGGUAGAAUUCCACGUGUAGCAGUGAAAUGCGUAGAGAUGUGGAGGAACACCGAUGGCGAAGGCAGCCCCCUGGGUCAAGAUUGACGCUCAUGCACGAAAGCGUGGGGAGCAAA